ACGGGGGGAGCAAGCGUUGUUCGGAAUCACUGGGCGUAAAGGGCGUGUAGGCGGUCAGAUAAGUGAGAUGUGAAACGCCUCGGCUCACCCGAGGACCUGCAUCUCAAACUGCCUGGCUUGAGUAUGGGAGAGGAUGAGGGAAUUCCUGGUGUAGCGGUGAAAUGCGUAGAUAUCAGGAGGAACACCGGUGGCGAAAGCGCUCAUCUGGCCCAAUACUGACGCUGAGGCGCGAAAGCUAGGGGAGCAAACGGGA
This 253-nucleotide ribosomal RNA is filed under the name uncultured prokaryote. RNAcentral describes it as "partial 16S ribosomal RNA". It matches the Rfam family "Bacterial small subunit ribosomal RNA", at positions 525 to 777 of the family's 1533-position model. The record is from RNAcentral.